Molecule: ribosomal RNA, 1373 nt
Filed under: uncultured bacterium
Lineage: Bacteria
Description: bacterial SSU rRNA
Rfam family: Bacterial small subunit ribosomal RNA
Source: RNAcentral
AGAGUUUGAUCCUGGCUCAGGACGAACGCUGGCGGCGUGCCUAACACAUGCAAGUCGAACGGAGUUAAGUUUUCGGAUUUAACUUAGUGGCGAACGGGUGAGUAACGCGUGAGUAACCUGCCCUGGAGCGGGGGACAACAGUUGGAAACGACUGCUAAUACCGCAUAAGCCCACGGUACCGCAUGGCACUGAGGGAAAAGGAUUUAUUCGCUUCAGGAUGGACUCGCGUCCAAUUAGCUAGUUGGUGAGGUAACGGCCCACCAAGGCGACGAUUGGUAGCCGGACUGAGAGGUUGAUCGGCCACAUUGGGACUGAGACACGGCCCAGACUCCUACGGGAGGCAGCAGUGGGGGAUAUUGCACAAUGGGGGAAACCCUGAUGCAGCGACGCCGCGUGGAGGAAGAAGGUUUUCGGAUUGUAAACUCCUGUCGUUAGGGACGAUAAUGACGGUACCUAACAAGAAAGCACCGGCUAACUACGUGCCAGCAGCCGCGGUAAAACGUAGGGUGCAAGCGUUGUCCGGAAUUACUGGGUGUAAAGGGAGCGCAGGCGGACCGGCAAGUUGGAAGUGAAAACUAUGGGCUCAACCCAUAAAUUGCUUUCAAAACUGCUGGCCUUGAGUAGUGCAGAGGUAGGUGGAAUUCCCGGUGUAGCGGUGGAAUGCGUAGAUAUCGGGAGGAACACCAGUGGCGAAGGCGACCUACUGGGCACCAACUGACGCUGAGGCUCGAAAGCAUGGGUAGCAAACAGGAUUAGAUACCCUGGUAGUCCAUGCCGUAAACGAUGAUUACUAGGUGUUGGAGGAUUGACCCCUUCAGUGCCGCAGUUAACACAAUAAGUAAUCCACCUGGGGAGUACGACCGCAAGGUUGAAACUCAAAGGAAUUGACGGGGGCCCGCACAAGCAGUGGAGUAUGUGGUUUAAUUCGAAGCAACGCGAAGAACCUUACCAGGUCUUGACAUCCCUCUGACCGACUCUUAACCGAGUCUUUCCUUCGGGACAGAGGAGACAGGUGGUGCAUGGUUGUCGUCAGCUCGUGUCGUGAGAUGUUGGGUUAAGUCCCGCAACGAGCGCAACCCCUAUCCCCAGUAGCCAGCGGUUCGGCCGGGCACUCUGAGGAGACUGCCAGGGAUAACCUGGAGGAAGGCGGGGAUGACGUCAAAUCAUCAUGCCCCUUAUGAUUUGGGCUACACACGUGCUACAAUGGCGUAAACAAAGGGAAGCGAGCCUGCGAAGGUAAGCAAAUCCCAAAAAUAACGUCCCAGUUCGGACUGCAGUCUGCAACUCGACUGCACGAAGCUGGAAUCGCUAGUAAUCGCGGAUCAGAAUGCCGCGGUGAAUACGUUCCCGGGUCUUGCACACACCGCCCGUCA